Molecule: ribosomal RNA, 468 nt
Filed under: uncultured bacterium
Lineage: Bacteria
Description: partial 16S ribosomal RNA
Rfam family: Bacterial small subunit ribosomal RNA
Source: RNAcentral
GACGAACGCUGGCGGCGUGCUUAACACAUGCAAGUCGAACGGAAAGGCCCUGCUUUUGUGGGGUGCUCGAGUGGCGAACGGGUGAGUAACACGCGAGUAACCUGCACUUGACUUUGGGAUAACUUCAGGAAACUGGGGCUAAUACCGGAGAGGAGCUCCUGCUGCACGGUGGGGGUUGGAAAGUUUCGGCGGUGGGGGAUGGACUCGCGGCUUAUCAGCUUGUUGGUGGGGUAGUGGCUUACCAAGGCUUUGACGGGUAGCCGGCCUGAGAGGGUGACCGGCCACAUUGGGACUGAGGUACGGCCCAGACUCCUACGGGAGGCAGCAGUGGGGAAUAUUGCACAAUGGGCGGAAGCCUGAUGCAGCAACGCCGCGUGCGGGAUGACGGCCUUCGGGUUGUAAACCGCUUUCGCCUGUGACGAAGCGUGAGUGACGGUAAUGGGUAAAGAAGCACCGGCUAACUACGUG